This 456-nucleotide ribosomal RNA is filed under the name uncultured bacterium. RNAcentral's name for it is "bacterial SSU rRNA". It matches the Rfam family "Bacterial small subunit ribosomal RNA", at positions 340 to 786 of the family's 1533-position model. The record is from RNAcentral.
UACGGGAGGCAGCAGUGGGGAAUAUUGCACAAUGGGCGCAAGCCUGAUGCAGCCAUGCCGCGUGUAUGAAGAAGGCCUUCGGGUUGUAAAGUACUUUCAGCGGGGAGGAAGGCGAUGCGGUUAAUAACCGCGUCGAUUGACGUUACCCGCAGAAGAAGCACCGGCUAACUCCGUGCCAGCAGCCGCGGUAAUACGGAGGGUGCAAGCGUUAAUCGGAAUUACUGGGCGUAAAGCGCACGCAGGCGGUCUGUUAAGUCAGAUGUGAAAUCCCCGGGCUUAACCUGGGAACUGCAUUUUGAAACUGGCAGGCUUGAGUCUUGUAGAGGGGGUAGAAUUCCAGGUGUAGCGGUGAAAUGCGUAGAGAUCUGGAGGAAUACCGGUGGCGAAGGCGGCCCCUGGGACAAAGCUGACGCUCAGGUGCGAAAGCGUGGGGAGCGAAACAGGGAUUAGGAUACC